Molecule: unclassified non-coding RNA, 253 nt
Filed under: uncultured Chitinophagales bacterium
Lineage: Bacteria; Pseudomonadati; Bacteroidota; Chitinophagia; Chitinophagales
Description: contains 16S-23S intergenic spacer region
Rfam family: Bacterial small subunit ribosomal RNA
Source: RNAcentral
UACGGAGGGUGCAAGCGUUAUCCGGAUUCACUGGGUUUAAAGGGUGCGCAGGCGGAUUUGUAAGUCAGUGGUGAAAGCCCCGGGCUCAACCUGGGAAUUGCCAUUGAUACUGCAAGUCUUGAGUAUAGUUGAGGUGGGCGGAAUACAUCAUGUAGCGGUGAAAUGCUUAGAUAUGAUGUAGAACACCGAUUGCGAAGGCAGCUCGCUAAACUAUAACUGACGCUCAGGCACGAAAGCGUGGGGAUCAAACAGG